GAUGAAGAACGUAGCGAAAUGCGAUACGUAGUGUGAAUUGCAGAAUUCAGUGAAUCAUCGAAUCUUUGAACGCACAUUGCGCCCUUUGGUAUUCCAAAGGGCAUGCCUGUUCGAGCGUCAUUUGUACCCUCAAGCUUUGCUUGGUGUUGGGCGUCUUGUCUCCAGUUCGCUGGAGACUCGCCUUAAAGUCAUUGGCAGCCGGCCUACUGGUUUCGGAGCGCAGCACAAGUCGCACUCUUUUCCAGCCAAGGUCAGUGUCCAACAAGCCUUUUUUCAACUUUUGACCUCGGAUCAGGUAGGGAUACCCGCUGAACUUAAGCAUAUCAAUAAGCGGAGGA
Molecule: unclassified non-coding RNA, 338 nt
Filed under: soil metagenome
Description: partial contains 5.8S ribosomal RNA, internal transcribed spacer 2, and large subunit ribosomal RNA
Rfam family: 5.8S ribosomal RNA (bases 1-120)
Source: RNAcentral